ACAGGGAUUGCCCCAGUAACGGCGAGUGAAGCGGCAACAGCUCAAAUUUGAAAUCUGGCCCCUCCGGGUCCGAGUUGUAAUUUGUAGAGGAUGCUUUUGGUGAGGUGCCGCCCGAGUUCCCUGGAACGGGACGCCACAGAGGGUGAGAGCCCCGUCUGGCUGGCCGCCGAGCCUCUGUAAAGCUCCUUCGACGAGUCGAGUAGUUUGGGAAUGCUGCUCAAAAUGGGAGGUAUAUGUCUUCUAAAGCUAAAUACUGGCCAGAGACCGAUAGCGCACAAGUAGAGUGAUCGAAAGAUGAAAAGCACCUUGAAAAGAGGGUUAAAUAGUACGUGAAAUUGUUGAAAGGGAAGCGCUUGUGACCAGACUUGGGCGCGGCGGAUCAUCCGGGGUUCUCCCCGGUGCACUUCGCCGCGUCCGGGCCAGCAUCAGUUCGUCGCGGGGGACAAAGGCUUCGGGAACGUGGCUCCUCCGGGAGUGUUAUAGCCCGUUGCAUAAUACCCUGCGGUGGACUGAGGACCGCGCAUCUGCAAGGAUGCUGGCGUAAUGGUCACCAGCGACCCGUCUUGAAACACGGACCAAGGAGUCGUCUUCGUAUGCGAGUGUUCGGGUGUCAAACCCCUACGCGUAAUGAAAGUGAACGCAGGUGAGAGCUUCGGCGCAUCAUCGACCGAUCCUGAUGUUCUCGGAUGGAUUUGAGUAAGAGCAUACGGGGCCGGACCCGAAAGAAGGUGAACUAUGCCUGUAUAGGGUGAAGCCAGAGGAAACUCUGGUGGAGGCUCGCAGCGGUUCUGACGUGCAAAUCGAUCGUCAAAUAUGGGCAUGGGGGCGAAAGACUAAUCGAAC
RNAcentral lists this ribosomal RNA (843 nucleotides) under Trichoderma leucopus. RNAcentral describes it as "LSU rRNA". It matches the Rfam family "Eukaryotic large subunit ribosomal RNA", at positions 68 to 940 of the family's 3401-position model. Lineage: Eukaryota; Fungi; Ascomycota; Sordariomycetes; Hypocreales; Hypocreaceae. The record is from RNAcentral.